This 466-nucleotide ribosomal RNA is filed under the name Vreelandella stevensii. Its description in RNAcentral is "partial 16S ribosomal RNA". It matches the Rfam family "Bacterial small subunit ribosomal RNA", at positions 338 to 795 of the family's 1533-position model. Lineage: Bacteria; Pseudomonadati; Pseudomonadota; Gammaproteobacteria; Oceanospirillales; Halomonadaceae. The record is from RNAcentral.
CCUACGGGAGGCUGCAGUGGGGAAUAUUGGACAAUGGGCGAAAGCCUGAUCCAGCCAUGCCGCGUGUGUGAAGAAGGCCUUCGGGUUGUAAAGCACUUUCAGUGGGGAAGAAAGCCUUGGGGCUAAUACCCUCGAGGUAUGACAUCACCCACAGAAGAAGCACCGGCUAACUCCGUGCCAGCAGCCGCGGUAAUACGGAGGGUGCAAGCGUUAAUCGGAAUUACUGGGCGUAAAGCGCGCGUAGGCGGUUUGAUAAGCCUGUUGUGAAAGCCCCGGGCUCAACCUGGGAACGGCAUCCGGAAACGGCCGGACUGGAGGACGGAAAGGAAGGUAGGAAUCCCCGGGUAGCCGGGAAAUGCGUAGGGUAUGGGAGGGAUCACCAGGGGGAAGGGGGACUUCCUGACCGAAACCGGAGCUUAAGUGGCGAAACGUUGGUAGCAAAACAGAAUUAGUUACCCCGGUAGUC